Molecule: ribosomal RNA, 230 nt
Filed under: uncultured bacterium
Lineage: Bacteria
Description: partial 16S ribosomal RNA
Rfam family: Bacterial small subunit ribosomal RNA
Source: RNAcentral
AAAGCGUACGUAGGCGGCUUUGUAAGUUAGAGGUGAAAGCCCGGAGCUCAACUCCGGAAUUGCCUUUAAGACUGCAUCGCUUGAAUCGUGGAGAGGUGAGUGGAAUUCCGAGUGUAGAGGUGAAAUUCGUAGAUAUUCGGAAGAACACCAGUGGCGAAGGCGGCUCACUGGACACGUAUUGACGCUGAGGUACGAAAGCGUGGGGAGCAAACAGGAUUAGAUACCCUUGU